GGGGUUAAAAUUAAUAAUUUAUAAUUAAUAAAAGUAGUUUUAGUAUUAAAAUAGGGGGUUUUAGUAUUAAUAAAGAAAAAAUUAUUAAUUUUAUAGUUAAUUAGUAUUGUAUAAGAAAUUUAAAAUAUAUUGAAAUUAAAUUUAUAUCAAAGUAAAUAUUAUUUAUUGUAUCUUGUGUAUCAGAGUUUAUUAAAUGAAAUUUUUAUAUAAAAAGUUUUCGAAUUUUAAAGAGUUAAUUGGUUAUUAAAGUUAUUGUUUCAUAAAUAUUUUAAAUAAUUAAUUAGAAAUGAAAUGUUAAUCGUUUUAAAAGAUAUCUAGUUUUUUUAGAAAAAAAUUUAAUUUUUAAUUUAUUUUAUAAAUUUAAUUAAUUAAUAAAUUGGUUUAAAAUGAAUUUUAAUAUUUUAAGGGAUAAGCUUUAAAUUAAAUUUUUAUAAUUAAUUUUAUUUAAAAUUAAAAUUUUUAAAAUUUAUAUUGUUUAUAAAGUUUAAUUUAUUAUAAAUAAUUUUAAUUAAAUAUAAAAUUUUAAAUUAAUUUAAUUUUUUAUAAAAAAAUAAUUUUUAAUUUUAUAAAUUUAGUUAUAAUGAUAAAAUUAGUAUUAAAUUUAAAAAUUUUAUUUAAUAUUUAAAAUUUAAAUAAAAGGAAUUCGGCAAAAUUUUAUAUUCACUUGUUUAUCAAAAACAUGUCUUUUUGUUAAUAAUUUAAAGUCUAAUCUGCCCACUGAUAAUUAUUAAAGGGCUGCAGUAUAUUGACUGUACAAAGGUAGCAUAAUAAAUAGUCUUUUAAUUGAUGACUUGUAUGAAAGAUUGGAUGAAAUAUAAACUGUCUCUUAUUUAUUAUAAAUGAAAUUAAUUUUUUGAUUAAAAAGUCAAAAUUUACUUAAAAGACGAGAAGACCCUAUAGAGUUUUAUAUUGAUUUAUAAUAAAAUUAUUUUUUAGAUUAUUAAUUAAAUUAUUUAUUAAUAUUUUAUUGGGGUGAUAGAAAAAUAAAAUUAACUUUUUUUUACUUUUAUUUCAUGAAUAGGUGAGUAAUUGAUCCAAAAAUUUUGAUUAUAAGAAAAAAUUACCUUAGGGAUAACAGCGUAAUUUUUUUUUUUAGUUCAAAUAAAAAAAAGAGUUUGCGACCUCGAUGUUGGAUUAAGAUAAAAUUUAUAUGCAAAAGUAUAAAAUUUUGAUCUGUUCGAUCAUUAAAAUCUUACAUGAUCUGAGUUCAAACCGGUGUAAGCCAGGUUGGUUUCUAUCUUUAAAAUGUGAAAAUAUUUUAGUACGAAAGGAAUAAAUAUUUAAAUUAAAUUUAUUUUAUGAAUUUUAUUAAUAUUUAAUUUAAAUUUAAAA
RNAcentral lists this ribosomal RNA (1332 nucleotides) under Ostrinia palustralis. RNAcentral's name for it is "16S ribosomal RNA". The record is from RNAcentral. Lineage: Eukaryota; Metazoa; Arthropoda; Insecta; Lepidoptera; Crambidae.